GGUGUCCUGCCCUGCUCCUGGAUGGAGCUUGGAGCUGUGCUGGAGGACACCGGCAGCUCCCGUGUGGGCUCUGAUGGUGAGUUAGGGCUGAGCGUGUAUCGCAGUCCCUGAGUGGAGUGCUCGGUGCAGCUCUCUUCUCUCCAGAAAGCAAUCUUCCUGAAGCUGGCAGGACCUUGAUGACCUUGGAGACCUCCAUUAAUGGUGCAGAAAGCAGCCACAGGGCUAAAAAUUACCAGUGGGGAGCUGAGCUUGAUGGAGCACACCUGCACCAGCCUGCCUUCUGGGGCUGAAAUCAAACUUGGCUUCUAACCCAGCUGUCGCUUUGCAAGGUCUCUGCUCCACGGGCAUCGUGUGGCUGGGGAGGGGGAGCAGGGAUGGUGCUGCUGUGGGGUGCAGGCGUUUGGGGCAGCUGCUCCCCCAGCCUUGGGACCGCAGCGGGAAGAUGCGUGACCGGCGGCUUCGCCUCCACGUGGGCGUAGGAGAUGGAAGCAAACAAACACAAACCCGAGCGUGGGUGGGCAGACACCUGCCUUCUGCUCCUCUUGGGUCUCGGUUUCCCCCUGUAAGACUUGACUGAGGGUAGAGGCCAUCGGGUGAGAGGGAUGGCACGGUCUGCCCGGCAUCCCCUCAUUUCCCUUCCUGCUUGGGGCUGCAGCAGACCACGGCUCUUUAAGGCUGCAAUAAUCCCUGGCCUGGGAUUAGUUUUGCACCUAAUCACUGCAGAACAAAUACGAAGUUUUAUUUACAGAAGCAGAAGAAAGACAGGGAAAAAAAGCCUCAAGCACGGCUGAUCCCAAGAUAAUCAGAGCUGGGGAGCGGGAGGCGAUCACUGACCUCAGAGCCCCCCCGGCCCUUACGUAAACGUGCAUCGGCCCUGUGCUGGAGCCACGAGCUCGAGCCCUGUCCCUGCUUGGACUUGGUGAAUCCAACCCUCGUUAUGGCUCAGGCUUGGACUUUUCUGGAAAUCCACUUUUUGGCUGGGGUUUUCUGGCCCUAACGCAGCCCCUCGGUUAGGUGUAUGCCCUAUGGAGAGACCCUGAGCUAGCAUCUGCAAUGGGAGACAAUGUUUAGGGGACGAUGGUGCUGCCAUGAAGGGAUGCUGAGCUUUCAUGAUGGGGAUGGAGAAGACCCCAAAAGCCACGCUGACCCCUAGGAAAUUGUAUUCUCACCAGCCCAGCAUCCCAUAGAGACACCACCCACAAGAAGGAGCCGAGCUGCUGCGCUGGGGGUAACAAGACAUGGGUUUAUUUUUCAUCCAUGCAAGCGAACAGCCCAGCAGUGGGCAAACCAGGGAUGGACAGAGGACACAAACGUGCUCUGUCCUUCCCAAGCCUGCCCUCUGUCACUUGAAGCCCCCAUGGCUUUGGCCACCCUGGCACAGGGGUCGGAGAUAGAUGGUGGGUGCCUGGGCUGGACCUGCGCCCCCCAGGCACGGGGGCAGCCCGUGAUGGCUCCGUGCCUGCCGGUGCCUGAAUUUCUCUUCCCCUUAUGCAGAUGCUGACAAAUAAAUAGGUCUUUUCUGCUUUGGAUCUUGCAUAGUGGAAAAAAAA
Molecule: long non-coding RNA, 1550 nt
Organism: Oxyura jamaicensis (ruddy duck)
Lineage: Eukaryota; Metazoa; Chordata; Aves; Anseriformes; Anatidae
Exons: 2
Source: RefSeq, a predicted model, not a curated record